Ribosomal RNA from Bison bison bison, 119 nucleotides. The record is from Ensembl. Lineage: Eukaryota; Metazoa; Chordata; Mammalia; Artiodactyla; Bovidae.
GUCCACAACCAUACCACUCUGAACAGGCCUGAUCUCGUCUGAUCUCAGAAGCUAAGCAGGGUCUGGCCUGGUUAGUACUUGAGUGUGAGACCGCUUGGGAAUACCGGGUGCUGUCGUCU